GGAAUAUUGCGCAAUGGGGGAAACCCUGACGCAGCAACGCCGCGUGAGUGACGAAGGCUCUCGGGUCGUAAAGCCCUGUCGAAGGAGACGAAACUAUCGGGUGCUAAUACCACCUGGUAUUGACGGUAUCCUUAGAGGAAGCACCGGCUAACGCCGUGCCAGCAGCCGCGGUAAUACGGAGGGUGCGAGCGUUGUUCGGAAUUACUGGGCGUAAAGCGCGCGUAGGCGGCUUCUUAGGUCGGGUGUGAAAGCCCUGGGCCUAACCCAGGAAGUGCGCCCGAAACUGAGAAGCUUGAGUACGAGAGAGGAGGACGGAGUUCCCAGUGUAGAGGUGAAAUUCGUAGAUAUUGGGAAGAACACCGGUGGCGAAAGCGGUUCUCUGGAUCGAUACUGACGCUAAGGCGCGAAAGCGUGGGGAGCAAA
RNAcentral lists this ribosomal RNA (423 nucleotides) under uncultured bacterium. RNAcentral describes it as "bacterial SSU rRNA". It matches the Rfam family "Bacterial small subunit ribosomal RNA", at positions 358 to 772 of the family's 1533-position model. The record is from RNAcentral.